AAGUUCAUGUUGUGAUAAAUAUCCAUACUUGAUUAAUGCUCAUAUGAUGUAGUGCACUUGGCUUACUUGAUAAGAUGAACGGGAUAACGAGAAAUUCGUAGAGGUAUGAGUAAAGGUUCCUAAUAUCAUGAUAUGAAUGAAAAUGUCAUUGCCUUGAUUGAACGUUGAAUGUUGAUGAAUGUUAAUGAUAUUUUUUAUGAGAUAAAUGAUUAUAAUGAAAUGAAUUUAUCUAUGUUAA
This 238-nucleotide long non-coding RNA is filed under the name Gossypium barbadense (sea-island cotton). RNAcentral describes it as "long non-coding RNA (GBAR_LNC002481)". Lineage: Eukaryota; Viridiplantae; Streptophyta; Magnoliopsida; Malvales; Malvaceae. The record is from RNAcentral.